Molecule: ribosomal RNA, 1552 nt
Filed under: Staphylococcus aureus
Lineage: Bacteria; Bacillati; Bacillota; Bacilli; Caryophanales; Staphylococcaceae
Also listed under: 1 other name
Description: 16S ribosomal RNA
Rfam family: Bacterial small subunit ribosomal RNA
Source: RNAcentral
UUUAUGGAGAGUUUGAUCCUGGCUCAGGAUGAACGCUGGCGGCGUGCCUAAUACAUGCAAGUCGAGCGAACGGACGAGAAGCUUGCUUCUCUGAUGUUAGCGGCGGACGGGUGAGUAACACGUGGAUAACCUACCUAUAAGACUGGGAUAACUUCGGGAAACCGGAGCUAAUACCGGAUAAUGUUUUGAACCGCAUGGUUCAAAAGUGAAAGACGGUCUUGCUGUCACUUAUAGAUGGAUCCGCGCUGCAUUAGCUAGUUGGUAAGGUAACGGCUUACCAAGGCAACGAUGCAUAGCCGACCUGAGAGGGUGAUCGGCCACACUGGAACUGAGACACGGUCCAGACUCCUACGGGAGGCAGCAGUAGGGAAUCUUCCGCAAUGGGCGAAAGCCUGACGGAGCAACGCCGCGUGAGUGAUGAAGGUCUUCGGAUCGUAAAACUCUGUUAUUAGGGAAGAACAUAUGUGUAAGUAACUGUGCACAUCUUGACGGUACCUAAUCAGAAAGCCACGGCUAACUACGUGCCAGCAGCCGCGGUAAUACGUAGGUGGCAAGCGUUAUCCGGAAUUAUUGGGCGUAAAGCGCGCGUAGGCGGUUUUUUAAGUCUGAUGUGAAAGCCCACGGCUCAACCGUGGAGGGUCAUUGGAAACUGGAAAACUUGAGUGCAGAAGAGGAAAGUGGAAUUCCAUGUGUAGCGGUGAAAUGCGCAGAGAUAUGGAGGAACACCAGUGGCGAAGGCGACUUUCUGGUCUGUAACUGACGCUGAUGUGCGAAAGCGUGGGGAUCAAACAGGAUUAGAUACCCUGGUAGUCCACGCCGUAAACGAUGAGUGCUAAGUGUUAGGGGGUUUCCGCCCCUUAGUGCUGCAGCUAACGCAUUAAGCACUCCGCCUGGGGAGUACGACCGCAAGGUUGAAACUCAAAGGAAUUGACGGGGACCCGCACAAGCGGUGGAGCAUGUGGUUUAAUUCGAAGCAACGCGAAGAACCUUACCAAAUCUUGACAUCCUUUGACAACUCUAGAGAUAGAGCCUUCCCCUUCGGGGGACAAAGUGACAGGUGGUGCAUGGUUGUCGUCAGCUCGUGUCGUGAGAUGUUGGGUUAAGUCCCGCAACGAGCGCAACCCUUAAGCUUAGUUGCCAUCAUUAAGUUGGGCACUCUAAGUUGACUGCCGGUGACAAACCGGAGGAAGGUGGGGAUGACGUCAAAUCAUCAUGCCCCUUAUGAUUUGGGCUACACACGUGCUACAAUGGACAAUACAAAGGGCAGCGAAACCGCGAGGUCAAGCAAAUCCCAUAAAGUUGUUCUCAGUUCGGAUUGUAGUCUGCAACUCGACUACAUGAAGCUGGAAUCGCUAGUAAUCGUAGAUCAGCAUGCUACGGUGAAUACGUUCCCGGGUCUUGUACACACCGCCCGUCACACCACGAGAGUUUGUAACACCCGAAGCCGGUGGAGUAACCUUUUAGGAGCUAGCCGUCGAAGGUGGGACAAAUGAUUGGGGUGAAGUCGUAACAAGGUAGCCGUAUCGGAAGGUGCGGCUGGAUCACCUCCUUU